AAGGAAAAGAAAAUCUUUUCAAUUUUCAUUUUCAGUUUUGGUAGACUUAGUCCUAAUCAGUAGUAAGUUUUUCUUUCUUAAGAAAAAGGAAGGGCCCAUAGCUCAGUUGGUUAGAGCACACGCAUGAUAAGCGUGAGGUCGAUGGUUCAAGUCCAUUUAGGCCCACCAACUGAUCAAUAAGGUCAUCUUUCUGAUUCUUAAAAAAAGUUCUCGAAAAGUACAUAAACAAAGUAAAAUAAUAGAAAUC
This 247-nucleotide unclassified non-coding RNA is filed under the name Candidatus Phytoplasma cynodontis. Its description in RNAcentral is "16S-23S ribosomal RNA intergenic spacer". The stretch from base 92 to 165 matches the Rfam family "tRNA". Lineage: Bacteria; Bacillati; Mycoplasmatota; Mollicutes; Acholeplasmatales; Acholeplasmataceae. The record is from RNAcentral.